GCCUCAGCCAUGGACGCGUCCCUGGAGAAGCUUGGGAGUCUGCUUGUCCAAUCCAGUGCAUACCCGGUUUUUCAUGCAUGUGGCAUUCAGGAGCAAUGCUCGUGUUUUAAGACGGCUACAUUUUAAUUUUGAGCUGAGGGAGUCUCGGUCUCUUGCCCAGGCUGGAGUGCAGUGAGGCGAUCUCGGAUCACUGCAACCUCCGCCUCCCGGAUUCAAGUGAUUCUCCUGCCUCAGCCUCCCGAGCAGCUGUGACUAUAGGCGUGUGACACCACACCCGACUAAUUUUUGUAUUCCCAGUAGAGAUGGGGUUUCACCAUGUUGGUCAGGAUGGUCUCAAACGCCUGACCUUGUGAUCCUUCAGCCUCAGCCUCCCACAGUGCUGGGAUUACAGGCGUAAGCCACUGCAUCUGGCCGGGACUUAGAUUUAUAUUCCCUGAAGUAAUACAGGGCCUUAGAUGGAAUGAACGAUUUAUAUUGGUGCUAAUUGGGCAGAAAAGAAAAAGCAUUGCUGUAAUAUGAAUGUUGAUGACUUUAUGUUCUGAAAAAUAGUCUGGGUCAAAGUGAAACAUUUAAUUGUGUUCAUUAUUCCUGUUUCUUUGAGGAAUAGACUAUCCUGCGUUAAAUUCUACAUUGUUAAUAUAAACUCAAGAGCUAUGUGAGCAGUUGUGAAUGAUCCCAUUUAAACUGAUUCUUGCGUAAUUUAUACUGAUUACAGAAACCACAAUGUUAUUUGAUGCUCACCCUCUAAAAUUUAAAAUAAUAUCUCUCAC
This 770-nucleotide long non-coding RNA is filed under the name Homo sapiens (human). Its description in RNAcentral is "non-protein coding lnc-EXOSC6-3:24". The record is from RNAcentral. Lineage: Eukaryota; Metazoa; Chordata; Mammalia; Primates; Hominidae.